GGGUUGAGGGUGAAAAUGAGG
RNAcentral lists this non-coding RNA (21 nucleotides) under Rattus norvegicus (Norway rat). Lineage: Eukaryota; Metazoa; Chordata; Mammalia; Rodentia; Muridae. The record is from RNAcentral.